Apodemus sylvaticus (European woodmouse) is the source of this 102-nucleotide small nuclear RNA. The record is from RefSeq and is a predicted model, not a curated record. NCBI's taxonomy places the organism in Eukaryota, Metazoa, Chordata, Mammalia, Rodentia, Muridae.
GGACUCAGCAGCACACAUACUAAAAUUGAAACAAUACAGUGAAGAUUAUUAUAGCCCCUGUGCAAGGAUGAUGCUCAAAUUUAUGAAGCAUUCCAUAAAACA